GAACACCACAUGACAGGAGGCCACCGUACAGGGAUUACAAGUUUUUUUUCUCUCUCUCUCUGAAAUUCUUUUUACCAUCUAUAGAGUUCAUCUGACUUUCAGAUGCUGAACUCUACAGAAGUGACAGCUCUGUUCCUCAGCAGCCAUUAACAGUGUCGCUGGACUGACACUGCAACGGCUGCUAUACACCACCCGGCACAAUGUGACCACAAAAGGGAUUGGUGUCACUUUCUUGGCACUCAAACUACUUUGAAGACCCCGUUUCAUUGGCAAAGCUGAAUCAGCCUUGAAAAAUGCAACACGGCUGAGUCAUACUUCCUCCUGGAUAUGACAGCGCUUCCUCCACAAACUGAUCUGUCCACCCCUCCCCUCCCCUCCCCUCCUCACAUUUUAAAAAACGUUAAAGGGACGGAACAUGGAAGAAGUGAGAAGGCAAUGAGUCCACUCUAGUCUCAAACAUAAUAAACCUACAUGGAAAUAUAAGACAGGCAAGCUCAAAAUAAAUGACUCAGAAUGCAUGUGAUAUAUAUAGCCUUGAUUUAAAUCUGUUUAUAUAUUAUACAGCAUUUUUUCUUUUCUCUUUUUUUUAAGGAAAUUAACAAUUUUAUUCAACAAAGGUGUAUGAUUCAAAAGUAACAGAAAAGACAUUUGCAUUACCAAAUAUUCAAAUUUUCUAGUUCUAUUUUUUAUUUCUUUUGAGCUUUCUAUUCAUCAAAGAAUCCUGAAAAGAAACGUAUCACAGUUUUCACAAAAAUAUUAAGCAGCACAAAUUUUCAACAAUGACAAUAAGAAAUACUUCUUAAGAUUUCUGAAGGAUCUGAAGACUUGAGUAAUGGUUGCUUUAAAAAAAUGUAGCUUUGCCAUUACAGGAACAGAUUAUACUAUAAAAUACACACAUAAAUAUAUAAAACAGAAAAAAAAAUUAAAUUGCAAUAAUAUUUCACAAUAUUACUGUUUUAACUGUAUUUUUGAUCAAACAAAUGCUGCCUUGGUGAGCAUAAGACAUUUUGCUCAAAUCAUACAUAAAUCUUACCAAAACAGUAGCAUAAAAUAUACACAUUUUAUAAGG
This is a long non-coding RNA of Cyprinus carpio carpio, 1069 nucleotides long. The record is from Ensembl. Lineage: Eukaryota; Metazoa; Chordata; Actinopteri; Cypriniformes; Cyprinidae.